RNAcentral lists this ribosomal RNA (253 nucleotides) under uncultured bacterium. Its description in RNAcentral is "partial 16S ribosomal RNA". It matches the Rfam family "Bacterial small subunit ribosomal RNA", at positions 524 to 776 of the family's 1533-position model. The record is from RNAcentral.
UACAGAGGGGGCAAGCGUUGUUCGGAAUUACUGGGCGUAAAGGGCGCGUAGGCGGCCUGUUAAGUCGGACGUGAAAUCCCUCGGCUCAACCGGGGAACUGCGUCCGAUACUGGCGGGCUUGAAUUCGGGAGAGGGAUGUGGAAUUCCAGGUGUAGCGGUGAAAUGCGCAGAUAUCGGGAGGAACACCAAUGGCGAAGGCAGCUCGCUGGGACGUUACUGACGCUGAGACGCGAAAGCGUGGGGAGCAAACAGG